RNAcentral lists this ribosomal RNA (440 nucleotides) under uncultured bacterium. Its description in RNAcentral is "partial 16S ribosomal RNA". It matches the Rfam family "Bacterial small subunit ribosomal RNA", at positions 338 to 795 of the family's 1533-position model. The record is from RNAcentral.
CCUACGGGAGGCAGCAGUGGGGGAUAUUGCUCAAUGGGGGGAACCCUGAUGCAGCGACGCCGCGUGGGUGAAGAAGCGCCUCGGCGCGUAAAGCCCUUUCUGCAGGGAAGCAAAUGCUGGUACCUGUAGAAGAAGCCCCGUGUAACAACUGGCAGGCUGCCGUGGGAACACGCCGGGGGCAAGCGUUAUACGGAUUUACUGGGUGUUAAGGGGGCUCAGUCGGCGAUGCAAGCCAGGAGGGAAAGGCCGGGGCCCAACCCCGGGACUGCUGUUGGAACUGGGUGGCUGGAGUGCAGGAGGGGCAGGCGGAAUGCGUGGUGUAGCGGUGAAAUGCAUAGAUAUCAGGAGGAACACCGGUGGCGAAGGCAGCCUGCUGGACUGCAACUGACGUUGAGGCCCGAAAGCGUGGGUAGCGAACAGGAUUAGAUACCCCAGUAGUC